UGGAAUCAUAAAAGAUUAUGGAUACUUGUGUGGUUGUUCACUCUGCAAUUUCUCCAAAGUUCUCAGUGCUUACGAAUUUGAAUGCACGCUGGGGGCAAGACUAGACACCCGAACAAUCAUAUUUAUUUGGAGAAUGGAAAACCUAUUUACAGGAUAAUUCAGGAGUUGAAGACUGCACCACUUAGUCAACUAGAAGAAGUUGUAAAAGACGUGGCUGGUUCUUCUAUUAAUGAGCAAUAUCUCGAGGCUUGGAAAGCCAAACUCUUCCUGCAGCACCAUGACGUGGCUAGUGCUUACCAAUAUUCUCAUGGAAAAGUUUCAGGGAUGUAUCAGUAUAAGCCAAGUGAUUGCAGUUCGGUGAUGGAAGAUGGCCUAUAUUCUGCUUACUCGUGUAUUGACAACUUCCCUCCAAAUCCACGUAGCUCUAUGGAGACUGCAGAAUCAUGGAAGCAUGUGGUUAAAAAGCCAAGGUGCAAUUUUUCCAACUCAACAGUAGAGCCAAAGAAACCUGCAGAAGGUGG
Molecule: unclassified non-coding RNA, 521 nt
Filed under: Hevea brasiliensis (rubber tree)
Lineage: Eukaryota; Viridiplantae; Streptophyta; Magnoliopsida; Malpighiales; Euphorbiaceae
Source: RNAcentral